This 802-nucleotide ribosomal RNA is filed under the name Glutamicibacter halophytocola. RNAcentral describes it as "bacterial SSU rRNA". It matches the Rfam family "Bacterial small subunit ribosomal RNA", at positions 50 to 864 of the family's 1533-position model. The record is from RNAcentral. Lineage: Bacteria; Bacillati; Actinomycetota; Actinomycetes; Micrococcales; Micrococcaceae.
UACACAUGCAGUCGAACGAUGAAGCCCUGCUUGCAGGGUGGAUUAGUGGCGAACGGGUGAGUAACACGUGAGUAACCUGCCCCUGACUCUGGGAUAAGCCCGGGAAACUGGGUCUAAUACCGGAUAUGACUUCCUACUGCAUGGUGGGUUGUUGAAAGAUUUAUCGGUGGGGGAUGGACUCGCGGCCUAUCAGCUUGUUGGUGAGGUAAUGGCUCACCAAGGCGACGACGGGUAGCCGGCCUGAGAGGGUGACCGGCCACACUGGGACUGAGACACGGCCCAGACUCCUACGGGAGGCAGCAGUGGGGAAUAUUGCACAAUGGGCGGAAGCCUGAUGCAGCGACGCCGCGUGAGGGAUGACGGCCUUCGGGUUGUAAACCUCUUUCAGUAGGGAAGAAGCGAAAGUGACGGUACCUGCAGAAGAAGCGCCGGCUAACUACGUGCCAGCAGCCGCGGUAAUACGUAGGGCGCAAGCGUUAUCCGGAUUUAUUGGGCGUAAAGAGCUCGUAGGCGGUUUGUCGCGUCUGCCGUGAAAGUCCGAGGCUCAACCUCGGAUCUGCGGUGGGUACGGGCAGACUAGAGUGAUGUAGGGGAGACUGGAAUUCCUGGUGUAGCGGUGAAAUGCGCAGAUAUCAGGAGGAACACCGAUGGCGAAGGCAGGUCUCUGGGCAUUUACUGACGCUGAGGAGCGAAAGCAUGGGGAGCGAACAGGAUUAGAUACCCUGGUAGUCCAUGCCGUAAACGUUGGGCACUAGGUGUGGGGGACAUUCCACGUUUUCCGCGCCGUAGCUAACGCAUUAAG